This 500-nucleotide ribosomal RNA is filed under the name uncultured bacterium. RNAcentral's name for it is "partial 16S ribosomal RNA". It matches the Rfam family "Bacterial small subunit ribosomal RNA", at positions 30 to 523 of the family's 1533-position model. The record is from RNAcentral.
AUUGAACGCUGGCGGCAGGCCUAACACAUGCAAGUCGAGCGGCAGCGGGACCUUCGGGUUGCCGGCGAGCGGCGGACGGGUGAGUAAUGCCUAGGAGUCUGCCUGUUAGUGGGGGAUAACGCGGGGAAACUCGCGCUAAUACCGCAUACGUCCUACGGGAGAAAGCGGGGGCGCUUCGGACCUCGCGCUAACAGAUGAGCCUAGGUCGGAUUGGCUAGUUGGUGGGGUAAUGGCCCACCAAGGCGACGAUCCGUAACUGGUCUGAGAGGAUGAUCAGUCACACUGGAACUGAGACACGGUCCGGACUCCUACGGGAGGCAGCAGUGGGGAAUAUUGGACAAUGGGCGAAAGCCUGAUCCAGCCAUGCCGUGUGUGUGAAGAAGGUCUUCGGAUUGUAAAGCACUUUAAGUCGGGAGGAAGGGCUGUAGGCUAAUACCUUGCAGUUUUGACGUUACCGACAGAAUAAGCACCGGCUAACUUCGUGCCAGCCGCCGCGGUAA